GACGAACCUUGCAAACGUUAUUCGGAAUCACUGGGCUUAAAGGGUGCGUAGGCUGUGCAGAAAGUUGGGUGUGAAAUACCUCGGCUUAACCGAGGAAUUGCGCCCAAAACUACUGUGCUCGAGGAAGAUAGAGGUGAGCGGAACUUAGGGUGGAGCGGUGAAAUGCGUUGAUAUCCUAAGGAACACCGGUGGCGAAAGCGGCUCACUGGAUCUUAUCUGACGCUGAGGCACGAAAGCCAGGGUAGCAAACGGG
RNAcentral lists this ribosomal RNA (253 nucleotides) under uncultured bacterium. RNAcentral describes it as "partial 16S ribosomal RNA". It matches the Rfam family "Bacterial small subunit ribosomal RNA", at positions 524 to 776 of the family's 1533-position model. RNAcentral also lists the same sequence under 2 other names. The record is from RNAcentral.